RNA transcript from Mauremys mutica (yellowpond turtle), 6274 nucleotides. It is a transcript of the gene named ubiquitin conjugating enzyme E2 H, with no coding region annotated. The record is from RefSeq and is a predicted model, not a curated record. NCBI's taxonomy places the organism in Eukaryota, Metazoa, Chordata, Testudines, Geoemydidae. The transcript is spliced from 8 exons.
UCCGGCAGAGGCGAGCGGAGCAGGGCUCGGGGCUGAGGGGAGAGCGAGUCGGAACUGGGGGAGGCAGGAGCGGCCAGGCCCCGCCAGCCCCAGGGCGCAGCAGCAGCAGCAGGAGGAGGAGGGGGCUCGCCAGCGGGUCGGUGCCCGGCGCCCCCCCCCGGGGAGCCGCCCCUGCCGGGUCCCCCCCCCCCCGCCGCCCGGAGGAGCCGGGGCUCUGACAGCCCGAGAGGAGGAGCCGGGCAGCCGGGGGCACCAUGUCCUCCCCCAGCCCGGGCAAGAGGCGGAUGGACACCGACGUGGUCAAGCUUAUUGAGAGCAAACAUGAAGUCACAAUCCUAGGAGGACUCAAUGAAUUUGUAGUGAAGUUUUAUGGACCACAAGGAACACCAUAUGAAGGUGGAGUGUGGAAAGUUAGAGUGGACCUUCCUGAUAAAUACCCUUUCAAAUCCCCAUCUAUAGGAUUCAUGAAUAAAAUUUUCCAUCCCAAUAUUGACGAAGCGUCAGGAACUGUAUGUCUAGAUGUAAUUAAUCAAACUUGGACAGCUCUCUAUGAUCUUACCAAUAUAUUUGAGUCGUUCCUGCCCCAGUUGCUGGCCUAUCCUAACCCCAUAGAUCCUCUAAAUGGUGACGCUGCAGCCAUGUAUCUCCACCGACCGGAAGAAUACAAACAGAAAAUUAAAGAAUACAUUCAGAAAUAUGCAACAGAAGAAGCACUAAAAGAACAGGAAGAAGGUACCGGGGACAGCUCAUCAGAGAGCUCCAUGUCUGACUUCUCGGAAGAUGAGGCCCAGGAUAUGGAAUUGUAGUAGAAGAAGCAACCUGCUUUUCAGAGAGACUAUUAUUUCCUAACCAUGAGAAGCAGACUAUAAUAUUCAUAUUUAAACAAAGCAAUUUUUUUUAUUACUAAACAAGGUUUUUAUGAAUAAUAGCAUUGAUAUAUAUAUAUCACCCUUUAGAUCUUGAUUUCUUGGUCAUUUCUCAAACCCAAGGUAUAUAGCAUAUUCCCACAUUCCAUUUUGGUAGCAAUAUGCAGCCCGAAUGCAUGCAUUCAUAAUUCCAUUUGGUCAAGUCAACUUGUGUGCUACUGAACUGUCAGCUCAAACAGCUGCUCUGAUAGGUAGGGACUUAGAGAUUUCCUUUUUAUCAGUGGUUCCGCAGCUACCACCUUGGAUGAUAAGAUGGAACAGAGCUUUCGCAAAGUAAAAAGUCUAGGGGAUAAUGUAAGAACGCUUUUAGAUCAGACAUUGAAAUAAAAAGUGCUCCUUCAGGUCAAACUCGCUAUCAUAGUUUAUGUGGAGUUGCAUUAAAAAAGUGCACGGAGUUAUUCAGAGCAUCGAAGCUUAAAAAAAAAUGACUUGGAUUUUAAGUACACUUUUAUAUUGGACUUCUGCCCACCCUCUGAACUAUAGGGACCUACAACCACUCAUCUGUUUGCUUUUGGGACUUUGGAAAGCCUUCAUCUGGACUUUACUCAUUUUCUUGGUCUGGAUUAUGAGCUGUUCCCUUUUUUCAGGGGGAAAAAACACAAUGCUACAUGAACAGUGCUUUAAUUUACCUGGAGCACAUACAAAGGCAAACUCUUUGUCAUAGUGAAACUGCUACCCUGUAAUAGCUUCAAGCUUUCCUUCUUGCUUGAAGUAUGAUCAAACACCUUGCAAACUCUCUCUCCAUCUCCUAAAAGAGGGUUCUCUGACCAGAUGGACUAGCCUUGCUGAGAGCUUCAGACCCAUGAAGAUUGACCCAUUGGCCAUAGUUCAUGAAUCCGUUGGCACAUUCUCUCUCCCAUUUUUGUUUUCCUGUUUUCCCUUCUGCAGCAGCUUGGUAGCCAUCUGCUUGUGUGUACAACAGACCAAACUAAAGUUUAACAAAGAAAUGCUCUAGGAAUAUUUGAUUGAUAAAAAUAAAAACCAUAAAUUGGGGAAACAAUUGAAUAAUAUUUUCAAGAAUUCUUCUGAAUGAAAAAUUUGAUUUCGUCUGGUGUAUUUCAACAUACUAAGUUUUUUUAUUAUUUUUAUUUAAUGGUAACUGUAUUACUCUUCCCCCAGUCUAUUCAAUGACCAGGUUUAACACAGUGAACACUUUCAUUCAUCUCUCAUUUGAAGAAGCCAGUUUUCUAAUAAAAAGGUGUCCCGUCCUAAGCUUCCAAAAGAAUUACAAUUAGAGCUGAAAAUCUAAGGUAGACUCCUGGAAAAGUAAGCACAUGUUUUACUGGGUUGAUUUUCUAGGUUGUGAAGAUGCAGUUUGGCUUCUAUUAGUUGUCCAAGUUGCUCUGAUUCCUCUGCACGUUACUUUGUGCAUACAGGCAGCCGAAGCAAGGUAUUUGUGGGUAUAGAUCUGGAACUUCUCCAGCAAGAUGUUUCCUUGGAUAUUAAUGGAGCUUUACACAUGAAACCUAUAGCAUUGCCUGCAGCAUGACGAAAAGAUCAUCUUCUUGGUAAAUUUCAUGUUUGAUCAUUCUCCCCUGUAGUGAUUGCAGCAGGAAAGGAAGCCCUACAGUAAAUUGUCAAAACACCUGCAGUUCAAAGGAAUAUGGCCUAGUGUAAAACUCUUGUAGGGAAUAAAUUCAAAUGGAUUUCCCUUCUUUCUAGACUGGAACAGCUGCUUAUUGCCUCAUUCUGCCCUUUUUCCCAUCUUUCACCUCCCUCCCCAUCUCAAACAAGAACCGUCUGUAAAUAAACUACACACCCCUAGUCUGGAAGAGAAAAGUGGAAUCGUUUUGAAGCGGGAUGACCAGUUUUUUUUGGUUCAGGUUUCUUUUGAAAUGCUAAUGUUCUUUUUCUGAAAGAACCACUGCCAUUCUCUUCCCUGUUCAGAUGACUGAAUCUCAAAGCAUCAGCCCAGGUGGAACUUAACAAGCCUACUCCAACAUGACUACGUUUGAUCCACUGUAUGUAGAUUCGUGCUUUCAGUGAAUCCCUGAAUAUGAAAGCUUGUUAGUAACCUAUUCUAGCUGUUAUGGAAGUAGGCUCUUGGCUUCACGUCUGAUAGCUUGUCACCUUGUUCUUGAGCUUUGUGUGACUUAUACAAAUUGAGAACUAUCAAAGCUGCCCCAGAUCCGCAGAAGCGUCUCAAGAAGCUACCUACAUUGCCAACUAGGUUAAACUUGAAUUUAAUCAGGCAUGUUUUCAACUCUCCUUGAGGUUUCCAAGUGUAUUUUCUUGGUUCAUUUGACUUUCCAUAAUAAUUUUAGACUUUAAAAAUAAAAAUUAAGGAAGGGAGUCUUGGCGAAAGCAAAUCUUAAAGGAGUGGCAUCUUGAUAUGAACUGAGUGGAAUAAUAAUGCUUUGUAAAUUAACUGGGAAUGUGUAAACCCUCGGUCAGAGGGGGGAAAAUGGAAGUUAAAUGCUAUUUCCGUUACCCCUAACGUUCAGACUGGCCACUUAGGUUUAUGGGAAUAUUACGUACAUAGUCACUUCUGUAAUCUCCCAUAUCCGUGUUUGAUCUGCCUGCAGUGCACACAAACCAGGGAGAUGGAGUCCCUUUUCCCCAUAAGGGAUGAGAAAUGCUGUAACCUGUGCUGCAGUUGGGUUGCCCUGGCUUUUUCCCCCCUCCCAGCAAGACUAAUCACAGGGCAUUCUGAUGUAAGUGGUAGCUCUCAGGUAUGCAAGGACACCCCCCACCCCCACCUUUGAUGUCAGUUCUAUACCACAACAUGCAGGGGGCAUUGAGGAGAGGGCAGGGCUGUUGGUUGGUUUUUCUUUUGCUUCUUUUUGCUCAUCUGAAUUCCGCUGGCACUUUAGCAGGAGCGUGUGCAGCAUGAGAAAUGGCCAUUAUUUUACUGACUGUAUUUGAUACCUGUUGUGUGAUACUUGAAGAGAUAAAGGGUGUUUUCCCUUCAUUUGAGUCUAAGCUUUUUUCUUUUCUUUUUUUUCCCUUUUUUCUUGCAUUGUGAUGAUGUAGUGGGCAUGCCUGUCACCAUGACAAAUGCCUCUUCUCUAAGAAUAUAACCUCUCAAAUAGUUGUGUAUAAUUAAAGAACUGUAAACUUUUUUAAAUAAAAGAUGUAUAUACCUUGACACUUGACUGGUACUUGAUCAGUAAGGUCUCGCUCUCAUAGGCAGCAUCCCCAGUGCCUCCCGUCUUUUAAACCUCCAGCCCCCGAGAUUCAACGGCAGCUGUUAACCAGACUGCCCAAGAUUCUGCCUUCAAAACCAGUCCAGGUUUUUUCUGUAGGAGAUGCUCUGGUGGAAGAACAUCCUGUUGCAUAUGCAGAGUGUCUGACUGCAGUGUUUGAUGUAACUAGGUUAUUAAGUCAGGAAGUUUGUUAAAAAUAGCUGUACUGUACCAUUGUGAUGGGUGCAGUAAAAGAACCUGAUUAGACUAGUAUAAAUUGGUUUAUUUGGUUGUAGGCUCAUUGGCAGUUAAGGUUUGUGAAACUUGCCUCUGGCCAACACUAGAUGGCGCUAUUUGCCACAUUCUCCACAAAGUGGUCUGGCAGAUUUCAACCAAAACUGCUGUAAAUUCGAAUUAUGCCCUAAAUGUGUUGGUAAUGUGAGCAAGCAAAUGAGCAGGUUUCUUCAUCUUGUUAGAAUGGAUGUUAAGUGAGCUCUUCUAGGAAAAUACCUAAUGCAUUAUAUGUACAUAGAUCAUGCCAAGUACUUUAUAAAAUGUGAAUUGGGGGAGGGUGGGUUUCCAAGGUGUUUGCAGUUUAAAUUGGCCAAGGACAAUGUGGAGACAACGGUGCCAAAGCUAGAAAGCUGACACCUCAACAGUGAGAUCUGUGCAGGAAGGCUUUGGGGAAAGUGGAUUUGAAGGGUGGGUGGAUAUAAAAGUAUUGACUUACAAGCACAGUGUGUGUCAGUCAUUCCAAUUUUACACCUAAAGGACAUACAUAACCAAUGCUCUUUCAAUAAGUUUCUCUAAAUGUAAGAAGAAAUGAAGAGGUCUGUACAUUUUUCCUGAAAACUGAAUCUGAAAUGUAUUAAACAUAAAAGCAAAUGGCCUCAAUUCAGAAGCUAGCUCAGCCAUUCAGUAACAAGUACUAAGGGAUUCCAAUUGCUUGGUCAGCAGGUGAAACAAAGUUUUUUAGCUUCAAAAUACAUACUUGUCCUUGGAGUUUCGGUCUUUUUACGAAGCCAGUGCCCUAUUAAACAUGCCGCACAGCAGUUAUGUUGGAUGCACCAAUGUAAUCUGGGCUUUGUACAAGGCAGGAGAGCCCUAUGUCAAAUGUGUGUGUAUGAAACGUUUCCACCUGGGUUGGGCUCAUGCCUGUUCAUCACAAUCUGUUAAUGGACCCCCUUCAUCUCGUCUGUUACCCAUUGUUGUGUCAUGUCUGAACUAGAUUGUAAGUUCGUUGGGGCAGAGACAUGUAUCUAGUGCAUAUGGCAUUGUACAAUGCUCGAGACACAAUAUUUGCAAAGAUUUUCCAUAGCCUUCCCCUUGCAGAUCUGCUUCUUGUGGUUUCAUUAGCUAAGUUCACAUCUACCAGGGGACUUGCUUAUUCUAAAAAAGCGAGUGGAACUACUUUGAGCUCUCCAGAGAAAUAUGCCCGUGGUUGAAUUCUGGAGAAAAUCCUUUACGUUUUCCAAUAGUUGUGGUUGUCUUCGUUUGUCUAGUGUUUUGAUAAGGUAUGUGUGUGCUGGGUUUAUUCCACUUACAGGUCUACCUGAAUUCCCCCCUCUAUUUUCAAUGGGAAACACUAUUUCAGCCCUAUCCUAAGCAGCCAUCGCAGUUGAAAUACAUGGUUUAGCAGCUGCCUUGCUAUACUUAGUAUUUGUAUUACAGUAGGGCUGGCCAGGUUGUCCCACCAAGAGGUCUCAUUGUGCUAGUACAAACAUGCUAGGACAGUCCCUCCACUAAAGAGCUUAGUCAAAACAAGAUGCAACAAGUGUUUGUAAUGGGGGAGAAAGGACCAGUGUAAAUGUGAUAGGAGCAUGUGGUCACAUAAACCACCAAUGGCUGAGUCCAUUUCUUAAACUGUGGUGCACCUCUCAGGAUUACACUACAGAUCUAUGUACCAAGAGAAAAUUAAAAUCCUUAUCACGUCUACAAUGCAGUGCACUCUCCUAUUAUCCAGUUCAGUCCUUUUCUUGCUCCUACCGCCAUAUAUUUCUUGUAUGAUCUGAUAACACAAAUGUGGUGAUGAAUAUAUAUUUACUGAAAAAUAAUUUGAAAGUUAAUUCACUGCGGUUUCUUCAGCUGGUAAAUGGGUAAGAGACACAAGACGUAGCUUUAAAUUCAGAAGAAAAAUAACUGCUGUUAUGAAGUACUUUUUAAAGGGUUUUGUUUGUAUUAUUUCUGAAAUCAUGGAACACAAUACAGUAUAAAUAGAUAAAA